This 309-nucleotide unclassified non-coding RNA is filed under the name plant metagenome. Its description in RNAcentral is "partial contains 5.8S ribosomal RNA, internal transcribed spacer 2, and large subunit ribosomal RNA". The stretch from base 1 to 105 matches the Rfam family "5.8S ribosomal RNA", at positions 50 to 154 of the family's 154-position model. The record is from RNAcentral.
GAAAUGCGAUAAGUAGUGUGAAUUGCAGAAUUCAGUGAAUCAUCGAAUCUUUGAACGCACAUUGCGCCCCUUGGUAUUCCAUGGGGCAUGCCUGUUCGAGCGUCAUUUGUACCCUCAAGCUCUGCUUGGUGUUGGGUGUUUGUCCCGUCUCCGCUCGUGGACUCGCCCCAAAGUGAUUGGCAGCCGGCGUACUGGUCCCGGAGCGCAGCACAUGUCGCGCAAACGAGUGCCUUGGUACGGCGGCGUCCAUAAGCCCCUCUCUCACGCUCUUGACCUCGGAUCAGGUAGGGAUACCCGCUGAACUUAAGC